AACGCAAAUUGCGCUUGAGGCUUCGGCCAAGAGCAUGUCUGGCUCAGCGUCGGCUUACUACCCUCAAUGAAUUCCCUUGUGGACACUGAUUGGAGCUGGCUUUCCGGUUUUCCGACUAGGUUGCCGGUCAGCUGAAAAACAUUCGCGCUAUGGGAGCUGCUUUCCCUUCAAAAAGGAAAGCCGAGUUCCGAUUUGGUAGGUGACCUUUGCCGGUUGCAUGCCUUCGUUGCUCGCCAUGGCUUCCAUGAAAGCGUGUGCAGGACGCCUUUUGGCUUUCGACCUGAGCUCAGGCAAGAACACCCGCUGAACUUAA
RNAcentral lists this unclassified non-coding RNA (313 nucleotides) under uncultured fungus. RNAcentral describes it as "partial contains 5.8S ribosomal RNA, internal transcribed spacer 2, and large subunit ribosomal RNA". Lineage: Eukaryota; Fungi. The record is from RNAcentral.